This 476-nucleotide ribosomal RNA is filed under the name uncultured bacterium. RNAcentral describes it as "partial 16S ribosomal RNA". It matches the Rfam family "Bacterial small subunit ribosomal RNA", at positions 28 to 523 of the family's 1533-position model. The record is from RNAcentral.
GAUGAACGCUGGCGGCGUGCUUAACACAUGCAAGUCGAGCGAGUGAGUUCUUCGGAACGAUCUAGCGGCGGACGGGUGAGUAACACGUGGGCAACCUGCCUCAUAGAGGGGAAUAGCCUCCCGAAAGGGAGAUUAAUACCGCAUAAAAUUAUCGAGUGGCAUCACAUGAUAAUCAAAGGAGUAAUCCGGUAUGAGAUGGGCCCGCGGCGCAUUAGCUAGUUGGUGAGGUAACGGCUCACCAAGGCGACGAUGCGUAGCCGACCUGAGAGGGUGAUCGGCCACAUUGGGACUGAGACACGGCCCAGACUCGUACGGGAGGCAGCAGUGGGGAAUAUUGCACAAUGGGGGAAACCCUGAUGCAGCAACGCCGCGUGAGUGAUGAAGGUCUUCGGAUUGUAAAGCUCUGUCUUUGGGGACGAUAAUGACGGUACCCAAGGAGGAAGCCACGGCUAACUACGUGCCAGCAGCCGCCGUAA